CGACGUCCAUGUCAGAAACACCCACCUUCAGAGCGUGCCACGCGUCCCAUUAAAUGAAACUCCGCGUACUGAGCUUUUUUUUUGUCGUCAUUACAGAUGGGCUUCACGCUGUGUCUCUGCGGCGGCCCAGAUACCAUAUGGGCGUCUUCGUGUCCUCCGUCCCUCUCUUAGAUCGGCCGACGACGAUUCAGUCUGUAACGGUUGCAGUUCUUCUCCCCUGCUUUAGAAAUAUGGCAACGUUACGAAACUCACCGCAAUCAAUCGUCAUUAACCUUCUAAUUGACUUCAUCUCCCCCACUCCUUCCACGUUUUCACAUUCAAUGCAUCCUCUCCUUUCUUCCCGUCUGUGAGCCUGUAGCUAUAAAUAUGUAUUUAAUCUGAGUGAAGUGAAACCCUGUAAAUUUGUACGGUACGGUUUGGUGUGUGAAGAAGUUCGCAGCAGAAGAAGAUGAAUGGGGAGGAGAAUGAAGAGAACUGUUGAAGAACUGUUUGAUUUAUUGGAAUGAUAGUGCUUUUUUUUUCUUUUUCUUAAAUCAUAUGGUUCUUCGUUUUAAGAAUAAGUAUCUAUGUGGGUUUAACUCUUUCUCUGAUUCUCAAGAAAGCAAACCAUUGCAUGUCAAAGUAAUAUUUUGUUAUACCAAUUGUUUAUAUUACCA
Raphanus sativus (radish) is the source of this 656-nucleotide long non-coding RNA. RefSeq lists it as uncharacterized. The record is from RefSeq and is a predicted model, not a curated record. NCBI's taxonomy places the organism in Eukaryota, Viridiplantae, Streptophyta, Magnoliopsida, Brassicales, Brassicaceae. The transcript has 2 exons.